Unclassified non-coding RNA from Erinaceus europaeus (western European hedgehog), 322 nucleotides. Its record names the gene 7SK. It matches the Rfam family "7SK RNA". From Rfam's summary of the family: 7SK was discovered as an abundant small nuclear RNA in the mid-70s but a possible function has only recently been suggested. Two independent studies have found that 7SK RNA binds the CDK9/cyclin T complex (known as elongation factor P-TEFb). Lineage: Eukaryota; Metazoa; Chordata; Mammalia; Eulipotyphla; Erinaceidae. The record is from Ensembl.
GGAUGUGAGGGCUAUCUGGCUGUGACAUCUGUCAUCCCAUGAUCACCAGGGUUGAUUCGGCUGAUCUGGCUGGCUAGGUAGGAUUCCCCUUCCUCCCUCACCGCCUCAUGUGCUUCCCUCUAUGUACGUCCCUCCCGAAGCUGUGCGCUCAGUCCAAGAGGACGGCCUUCCCUGAAUAGAGACUGACCAGUCUUUGGUCAAGGGUAUAUGAGUAGCUGCGCUCCCCUGCUAGAACCUCCAAACAAGCUCUCGUGGUUCAUAAAAGUGAUGGCGCUUGUAAGCUUAUAAAUACUAAAACAUAGAGAUAAUCCCAGGGAGUUUU